UACGUAGGUGGCGAGCGUUGUCCGGGUUUACUGGGCGUAAAGGGAGCGUAGGCGGACUUUUAAGUGAGAUGUGAAAUACUCGGGCUCAACUUGAGUGCUGCAUUUCAAACUGGAAGUCUAGAGUGCAGGAGAGGAGAAUGGAAUUCCUAGUGUAGCGGUGAAAUGCGUAGAGAUUAGGAAGAACACCAGUGGCGAAGGCGAUUCACUGGACUGUAACUGACGCUGAGGCUCGAAAGCGUGGGGAGCAAACAGG
Molecule: ribosomal RNA, 253 nt
Filed under: uncultured bacterium
Lineage: Bacteria
Description: partial 16S ribosomal RNA
Rfam family: Bacterial small subunit ribosomal RNA
Source: RNAcentral